RNAcentral lists this ribosomal RNA (509 nucleotides) under uncultured bacterium. RNAcentral's name for it is "partial 16S ribosomal RNA". It matches the Rfam family "Bacterial small subunit ribosomal RNA", at positions 28 to 523 of the family's 1533-position model. The record is from RNAcentral.
GACGAACGCUGGCGGCGUGCUUAACACAUGCAAGUGGUGCGACGAACCAGGCUUCGGCCUGGGGCAGAGCCGCGAACGGGUGAGUAACACGUGGGCAACCUGCCCUGUUGAUCGGGACAACCUGGGGAAACCCGGGCUAAUACCGAAUGUGGUGCCGGCUCAUGAGAGCCGUCACGAAAGGAAGCUUCGGCCUCCGCGACAGGAUGGGCCCGCGGCCCAUUAGCUUGUUGGUGGGGUAAUGGCCUACCAAGGCAACGAUGGGUAGCUGGUCUGAGAGGACGAUCAGCCACACUGGGACUGAGACACGGCCCAGACUCCUACGGGAGGCUGCAGUGGGGAAUCUUGCGCAAUGAGCGACAGCUUGACGCAGCAACGCCGCGUGGGGGAAGAAGGCUUUCGGGUCGUAAACCCCUUCCAGUUAGGACGAAGCUUUAUUGGUUAAUAACCAACUGGAGUGACGGUACUUUCAGAAGAAGCCCCGGCUAACUACGUGCCAGCAGCCGCGGUAA